This 401-nucleotide unclassified non-coding RNA is filed under the name soil metagenome. RNAcentral's name for it is "partial contains 5.8S ribosomal RNA, internal transcribed spacer 2, and large subunit ribosomal RNA". The stretch from base 1 to 121 matches the Rfam family "5.8S ribosomal RNA", at positions 35 to 154 of the family's 154-position model. The record is from RNAcentral.
GAUGAAGAACGUAGCGAAAUGCGAUAAGUAAUGUGAAUUGCAGAAUUCAGUGAAUCAUCGAAUCUUUGAACGCACCUUGCGCCCCUUGGUUAUUCCAAAGGGCAUGCCUGUUUGAGUAUCAUGAACACCUCAACUCUUGUGGUUUCCCACAAUGAGCUUGGACUGUGGAGGUUUUGUUGGCCCUGUGGUCAGCUCCUCUCAAAUGGAUCAGCUUACCGGUGUUUGGUGGCAUUACGGGUGUGAUAACUAUCUACGCUCGUGGUCGUCUCCGAAUAACCUCCAGUGAUGGAGGUUCGCUGGAGCUUAUAAAUGUCUCUCCCCAGUGAAGACAGCCUUUGAACGUUCGAUCUCAAAUCAGGUAGGACUACCCGCUGAACUUAAGCAUAUCAAUAAGCGGAGGA